Lycium barbarum (goji berry) is the source of this 1229-nucleotide long non-coding RNA. RefSeq lists it as uncharacterized. Lineage: Eukaryota; Viridiplantae; Streptophyta; Magnoliopsida; Solanales; Solanaceae. The transcript is spliced from 3 exons. The record is from RefSeq and is a predicted model, not a curated record.
AUAUGUGUAUUUUUUUCAAAAAUACUUUUCAAAAGAGUGGUUUUGGGAAAAAGCUAUUUUUUAGUUUCUGAAAAAACUGUUUCUGCUAUUCCCUAAAAACACUUAUUUUCUCCCAAAAGCUUGGCCAAACACCUUAUUUUUUUUUUAAAAUAAGCACUUAUUGAUAAAAUAUGUACUUUUUAGGGAAAAAUAAACUUGGCCAAACAGGCUAUAAGUGUUAUGUCCCGUAUUUUUAUACAUUGGGACAACCCGGAUUAACUAUGAUAAUUUUGGGCCAAGACUAUUCCGGGAUUUGAAGUCGGGACUUUUGACUUGUGAUUUUAUUUUGAGACAUAAGUUAUAUAUGAAAUUGUUGGCAUUGAACACUUACAAAAAAUUGGGACCAAAAUUCAAAAAUUGGAAUUAAAAAUCUUGCAAAUGAGGCCUUGUGGCCCUCAAAUGGUCCACACAUUGUGUGGCCAAUUUUAAUUGGUCCAACACAUGUGUGGGCCUAAGUCAUGGAGAUAUUUUUAAGGGGACUUAAAAGAUGACCACUUAGUCAUCUUUCUUCAUUUGAAACUUAGCAAAAAAAAAAAAUAUAUACAUCAAGAAGGUGAAGACCAUCACCAUUCUCGGCCAAGACUUGGAAAAACCAAGUCCCAUUUCAAGCCACUCUAAAAAUAUUUCCUUGGUUCAAAUCAACUAAUUAGAGGUCCCUAAGUAGCGUGGAAGCAUUUUUGGAGCGAUCAAGGCAUCCAUUUAAGAGAUUGCAAACCCUAACCCAUUGUGGAGUUGAAGAGGAAAGACAUUGGGGAGCCCGAGGCGUAGAUUGGGAUUAGCUUUAGUCGGGUUAGCUUGGAGUGCGUACGAGGUACAGACGCACAGUUUGGUGAUCCACCAGUCUAGGACACCCUCUUCUGCCGUUUGGAGUGCUCUUCUCAUUUCAGAGCAUAUAUUUUGGUAUAUAUUCGUUCGCUGUGUAUGUAUAUAUUUGUUCAGGGGUACGGCGGGGCCCUGUCCCGUCAUAUGUUUCGGUUGGUCUGUUUAGAGGUCUGUAGACAUAUUUGUGGGUGUAUGUGCCUACUUCUGUUAAGAUGUGGUUGUACGAUCUUAUUCGCUAUGACAACCUUGUCGACGUGCAUUUUGUAUAUGUUUUGGGGCCGUUGUGCCAUUUGAUAGCCUGGUCGGCUUUUGAUAUAUAUAUAUCUGCAUACGGUUGCGUUGAGAUGUGUUUGAAAUAGUUUGAUAUA